RNAcentral lists this ribosomal RNA (333 nucleotides) under uncultured Alteromonadales bacterium. RNAcentral's name for it is "SSU rRNA". It matches the Rfam family "Bacterial small subunit ribosomal RNA", at positions 30 to 367 of the family's 1533-position model. The record is from RNAcentral. Lineage: Bacteria; Pseudomonadati; Pseudomonadota; Gammaproteobacteria; Alteromonadales.
UUGAACGCUGGCGGCAGGCCUAACACAUGCAAGUCGAGCGCGAAAACACUUCGGUGUGAGUAGAGCGGCGGACGGGUGAGUAAUGCUUGGGAAUCUGCCCAGUAGUGGGGGAUAACGUGUGGAAACGCACGCUAAUACCGCAUACGUCCUACGGGAGAAAGCAGGGGAUCUUCGGACCUUGCGCUAUUGGAUGAGCCCAAGUCAGAUUAGCUAGUUGGUGAGGUAAUGGCUCACCAAGGCGACGAUCUGUAGCUGGUCUGAGAGGAUGAUCAGCCACACUGGGACUGAGACACGGCCCAAACUCCUACGGGAGGCAGCGGUGGGGAAUCUUGC